AUGGGGCUGAUUCAACGGUGAAGUCAUGUAAACUAGUGUCGUACACUCAUCGCCUGGAACAUAUUACUGGAGACUUUGAAAUCCCAAAUGGAACGACUAAAGCCGCCUGGGUAUCCAUUUUUCAUCGGCGUAAAAUUGAAGCAGCUGUCGACAGGCUAAGCGACCGUCUGGCAACGAAACUUAGUGCCGUUAUCAGUGAAGCACUUAUGAUGAUGUAUCCAUCAGUAUAUUUGGAAUAUUUUUCGAUGAGGAAAAGUAAAAAACGCGGGCUCGAUCCAAGAUUAUGAUAACCUUCACGUUUAUGCCUGCAAACCUAAUACACGAUGUCGAACUUCGAAUCUUGCCUAUACAGCCAUUGUGACUGCUUUCAUCAGGAGAUCUACGCGUCCCCGAUAGGCAACAGUGGGUUCGACGAGGUGCCAAAGUGACUAAAAGGUUUAUGCUUGAAAGAUAACCUACGAUAUUGCUCAAAGUUUGACUAUCUAACAGAGCAAAUUUCGGAAAGAAACUAUGGCUUCGACUAGAAAUGGCACUUUUACUUCACUCCAAAUGUUAAAUUGACAAGCUCCACUAAUAACGCCCAUACUUAGCGCUUAAUUGUACAAUACUUA
Long non-coding RNA from Varroa destructor (honeybee mite), 611 nucleotides. RefSeq lists it as uncharacterized. Lineage: Eukaryota; Metazoa; Arthropoda; Arachnida; Mesostigmata; Varroidae. The record is from RefSeq and is a predicted model, not a curated record.